Molecule: transfer RNA, 77 nt
Filed under: Fulcaldea stuessyi
Lineage: Eukaryota; Viridiplantae; Streptophyta; Magnoliopsida; Asterales; Asteraceae
Description: tRNA-Val
Rfam family: tRNA
About the family: Transfer RNA (tRNA) molecules are approximately 80 nucleotides in length. Their secondary structure includes four short double-helical elements and three loops (D, anti-codon, and T loops). Further hydrogen bonds mediate the characteristic L-shaped molecular structure. tRNAs have two regions of fundamental functional importance: the anti-codon, which is responsible for specific mRNA codon recognition, and the 3' end, to which the tRNAs corresponding amino acid is attached (by aminoacyl-tRNA synthetases). tRNAs cope with the degeneracy of the genetic code in two manners: having more than one tRNA (with a specific anti-codon) for a particular amino acid; and 'wobble' base-pairing, i.e. permitting non-standard base-pairing at the 3rd anti-codon position.
Source: RNAcentral
AAGGGCUAUAGCUCAGUUGGUAGAGCACCNGUUUACACUUACCGAGAAGGUCUACGGUUCGAGUCCGUAUAGCCCUA